This 489-nucleotide ribosomal RNA is filed under the name uncultured bacterium. RNAcentral's name for it is "bacterial SSU rRNA". It matches the Rfam family "Bacterial small subunit ribosomal RNA", at positions 7 to 529 of the family's 1533-position model. The record is from RNAcentral.
UAGAGUUUGAUCAUGGCUCAGGAUAAACGCUGGCGGCGUGCUUCAGGCAUGCAAGUCGAACGGACCUUCGGGUCAGUGGCGGACGGGUGAGUAACACGUAAGUAACCUGCCCAGAAGUGGGGAAUAACUAGCCGAAAGGUUGGCUAAUACCGCAUGUGAUGGUCGGUCCCUGGACUGGUCAUUAAAGAUUUAUCGCUUCUGGAGGGGCUUGCGGUCGAUUAGCUAGUUGGUGGGGUAAUGGCCUACCAAGGCGACGAUCGAUAGCUGGUCUGAGAGGACGGUCAGCCACACGGGGACUGAGAUACGGCCCCGACUCCUACGGGAGGCAGCAGCUAGGAAUCUUGGGAAUGGGCGAAAGCCUGACCCAGCAACGCCGCGUGGGUGACGAAGGCCUUCGGGUUGUAAAGCCCUUUUACCCGGGAUGAUAAUGACAGUACCGGGAGAAUAAGCUCCGGCUAACUCCGUGCCAGCAGCCGCGGUAAUAUCGCC